This 465-nucleotide ribosomal RNA is filed under the name uncultured Pseudomonadota bacterium. Its description in RNAcentral is "bacterial SSU rRNA". It matches the Rfam family "Bacterial small subunit ribosomal RNA", at positions 198 to 644 of the family's 1533-position model. Lineage: Bacteria; Pseudomonadati; Pseudomonadota. The record is from RNAcentral.
GGAGNAAAGCAGGGGAUCGCAAGACCUCGUGCUCGUAGAGCGGCCGAUAUCUGAUUAGCUAGUUGGUAGGGUAAAAGCCUACCAAGGCGACGAUCAGUAGCUGGUCUGAGAGGACGACCAGCCACACUGGGACUGAGACACGGCCCAGACUCCUACGGGAGGCAGCAGUGGGGAAUUUUGGACAAUGGGGGCAACCCUGAUCCAGCAAUGCCGCGUGUGUGAAGAAGGCCUUCGGGUUGUAAAGCGCUUUUGUCCGGAACGAAACGCGCCGAGCUAAUACCUUGGCGUAAUGACGGUACCGGAAGAAUAAGCACCGGCUAACUACGUGCCAGCAGCCGCGGUAAUGCGUAGGGUGCGAGCGUUAAUCGGAAUUACUGGGCGUAAAGCGUGCGCAGGCGGUUGUGCAAGACAGAGGUGAAAUCCCCGGGCUUAACCUGGGAAUUGCGUUUGAAACUACAAGGCUAG